CCCAGACUCCUACGGGAGGCAGCAGUGGGGAAUAUUGGACAAUGGGGGGAACCCUGAUCCAGCGACGCCGCGUGAGUGAAGAAGUAUUUCGGUAUGUAAAGCUCUAUCAGCAGGGAAGAAAGAAAUGACGGUACCUGACUAAGAAGCACCGGCUAAAUACGUGCCAGCAGCCGCGGUAAUACGAAUGGUGCAAGCGUUAUCCGGAUUUACUGGGUGUAAAGGGAGCGCAGGCGGCACGGCAAGCCUGAUGUGAAAGCCCGCGGCCCAACCGCGGGACUGCAUUGGGAACUACCGGGCUGGAGUGCCGGAGAGGUAGGCGGAAUUCCUAGUGUAGCGGUGAAAUGCGUAGAUAUUAGGAGGAACACCAGUGGCGAAGGCGGCUUACUGGACUGUAACUGACGUUGAGGCUCGAAAGCGUGGGGAGCAAACAGGAUUAGAUACCCGCGUA
Molecule: ribosomal RNA, 448 nt
Filed under: uncultured bacterium
Lineage: Bacteria
Description: partial 16S ribosomal RNA
Rfam family: Bacterial small subunit ribosomal RNA
Source: RNAcentral